UACUCCUACGGGAGGCAGCAGUGGGGAAUAUUGGACAAUGGACCGAGAGUCUGAUCCAGCAAUUCUGUGUGCACGAUGAAGUUUUUCGGAAUGUAAGGUGCUUUCAGUUGGGAAGAAACAAAUGACGGUACCAACAGAAGAAGUGACGGCUAAAUACGUGCCAGCAGCCGCGGUAAUACGUAUGUCACGAGCGUUAUCCGGAUUUAUUGGGCGUAAAGCGCGUCUAGGUGGUUAUGUAAGUCUGAUGUGAAAAUGCAGGGCUCAACUCUGUAUUGCGUUGGAAACUGUAUAACUAGAGUACUGGAGAGGUAAGCGGAACUACAAGUGUAGAGGUGAAAUUCGUAGAUAUUUGUAGGAAUGCCGAUGGGGAAGCCAGCUUACUGGACAGAUACUGACGCUGAAGCGCGAAAGCGUGGGUAGCAAACAGGAUUAGAUACCCUGGUAGUCCACGCCGUAAACGAUGAUUACUAGGUGUUGGGGGUCGAACCUCAGCGCCCAAGCAAACGCGAUAAGUAAUCCGCCUGGGGAGUACGUACGCAAGUAUGAAACUCAAAGGAAUUGACGG
RNAcentral lists this ribosomal RNA (565 nucleotides) under uncultured bacterium. RNAcentral describes it as "bacterial SSU rRNA". It matches the Rfam family "Bacterial small subunit ribosomal RNA", at positions 334 to 916 of the family's 1533-position model. The record is from RNAcentral.